AGGACGAACGCUGGCGGCGUGCUUAACACAUGCAAGUGGAGCGACGAACCAGGGCUUGCCCUGGGGCAGAGCCGCGAACGGGUGAGUAACACGUGGGUUACCUGCCUCAAUGACCGGGACAACCCGAGGAAAACUCGGGCUAAUACCGGAUGUGCCCGCAAGGGGAAAGGAAGCUUCGGCCUCCGCAUUGAGAUGGGCCCGCGGCCCAUUAGCUUGUUGGUGAGGUAACGGCUCACCAAGGCUUCGAUGGGUAGCUGGUCUGAGAGGACGAUCAGCCACACUGGGACUGAGACACGGCCCAGACUCCUACGGGAGGCAGCAGUGGGGAAUCUUGCGCAAUGCGCGAAAGCGUGACGCAGCAACGCCGCGUGGGGGAAGAAGGCUUUCGGGUUGUAAACCCCUUUCAGUUGGGACGAAGCUUCGGCGGUUAAUAGCUGUCUGGAGUGACGGUACCUUCACAAGAAGCACCGGCUAACUACGCGCCAGCAGCCGCGGU
This 496-nucleotide ribosomal RNA is filed under the name uncultured bacterium. RNAcentral describes it as "SSU rRNA". It matches the Rfam family "Bacterial small subunit ribosomal RNA", at positions 26 to 521 of the family's 1533-position model. The record is from RNAcentral.